CCGUGCUAAGCGGGGAGGUAGCGGUGCCCUAUACUCGCAAUCCGCUCUAGCGAGGCCGAAUCCCUUCUCGAGGUUAUGCUGCUGUAAGGUCUGCCUUAAGUAAGUGGUGUUGACGUUUGGGUCCUG
RNAcentral lists this signal recognition particle RNA (126 nucleotides) under Bacillus wiedmannii. Its description in RNAcentral is "partial signal recognition particle sRNA large type". It matches the Rfam family "Bacterial large signal recognition particle RNA", at positions 1 to 123 of the family's 256-position model. Rfam says of the family: The signal recognition particle (SRP) is a universally conserved ribonucleoprotein involved in the co-translational targeting of proteins to membranes. Archaeal SRP consists of a 7S RNA and homologues of the eukaryotic SRP19 and SRP54 proteins. The record is from RNAcentral. Lineage: Bacteria; Bacillati; Bacillota; Bacilli; Caryophanales; Bacillaceae.